GCAUUGGUAGUUCAGUGGUGGAAUUCUUGCCCUCCAUGCAGGAGACCUGGGGUUGGAUUCCCAGCCAAGGUA
RNAcentral lists this transfer RNA (72 nucleotides) under Loxodonta africana (African savanna elephant). It matches the Rfam family "tRNA". From Rfam's summary of the family: Transfer RNA (tRNA) molecules are approximately 80 nucleotides in length. Their secondary structure includes four short double-helical elements and three loops (D, anti-codon, and T loops). The record is from Rfam by way of RNAcentral. Lineage: Eukaryota; Metazoa; Chordata; Mammalia; Proboscidea; Elephantidae.